This 1975-nucleotide long non-coding RNA is filed under the name Sus scrofa (pig). RNAcentral describes it as "lncRNA (ENSSSCG00060028699.1)". The record is from RNAcentral. Lineage: Eukaryota; Metazoa; Chordata; Mammalia; Artiodactyla; Suidae.
GGGCCCUUUGCACAGAGUUUGAUCCCGAGCCUGGCAUGCAGACUCCAUCAGACUUGGACCCUCUCAGUGCUGCGGCCGUGCCUUGCCCCGUGAGGCUGACACCCCUCCAGGUCAAGAUGCCACUCUUCCAAGCCCAACAGUGGACUCCAGCCCCACCACCCGGGCUCCCAGCACUAAGUGGUGUCACGUGUUCCGCUUCAUUGGCAGGCUGGCCUGAUGCUUCUUCAUCACAAUCUCCACUCCACAGUGGGCAGGGGUCAAGGUGCCAGAGGCCCUUCCUUGCACCCCAGAGCCCACAGCCACUGGCGACGCAGAGCCUCGCAAUGGCCUUCUCCACAGCUCACUUAGAAGACUGCUCUCUCCUUCAUCCCCUCCUCCUGGACCACACACCUUAGCAGGCAGCUCGGUCACUGACUGCGUCGGUCCCAGAGAGGAGCCCCUCUUCGGUCACCUUGGAAAUGGCCCAGACGAAAGGAUGGGGGUGGGCCUGGGUCGAUCCUUUGGGGAUGUUCAGGAUUUCACCCUGACCCUCCCAGGCAGGUGCUUGUCUUUGCUCCCAGGGGGCCCCCUGGCCAGCCUGGGUGGUCUGCAAGGGGAUCGAGGGGAUGCAAGCGGAACUCGGUCCAGCCACCUGAACUCCCAGGGGACAGUCCUGGCCAUCCAGCCAAGUAUAAUGACUCUUUGCCUGAGGACACCGGCUGCCGGGGGCGGGUGGGGGGCCUGUGGUCCAAAGUGUGGGUGCAGUGGGUCUCCAAACGUUUUGUUUUGUUUUGUUUUGAACAGCUGAGUAUCAACUUAUGAAAACGUUGGACUUAACGAUCUGCCAAGGGGACUUCAACCUCGACCCCGGGUUCGGUACUGAUGGACGACGUCUGCGGAACAAGCUCAGAGGACCCACGCAGGUGCAGGUCAGGGAGUCGCGAGUGGAUCCUCAUCUGAGCACGAUCCCGAGGAUCUGAGCCGUCACCACAGGGAUUCGCAGUCUCGGCGAUUCGCAGUCUCGGCGAUUCGCAGUCUCGGCGGGCAUCCAAACGGGUCCUUUCACUUUGCGCCUCUGCUCAGGUCAGCAGGUACCUUCUCCCAAGACUUCAUGUCGUGGCUGCUGAGGGCGAUUCCUACCUGGGGAUGGCGACCUCCGGCUCCAAGGGAGUCUUUCCAGCCUCUUUAAAAGCCACGGCUGCGGCGCAGCUUCCUGACCGAAUCGUUCUGCAGAGAGAGCCGACAGCAGUGAGUCGGGAGUGGGAGCAGGGGCCCGAGGCGCUGCAGAACUCCCGUUUGUGUAAUUUUUUAAUUUUUAACAUUUAUUUUAUUUUUUUCUUUGUCAGGCCGCACCUGUGGCAUAUGGAAGUUCCCAAGCAAGGGGUCGAAUCGGAGCAUCCAGCCCAUGCCACAGCCACAGCCAGAGCAACAAAGAUCCAAGCUAGGGGUCUAAUCAGAGCUGUAGCCACCGGCCUACGCCAGAGCCACAGCAAUGCAGGAUCUGAGGCACAUCUGCAACCUACACCACAGCUCACAGCAGCGCCGGAUCCUUAACCCACUGAGCGAGGCCAGGGGUCGAACCCACAACCUCAUGGUUCCUAGUGGGAUUCGUUCACCACUGUGCCACGACGGGAACUCCUAGUGUCAUGUCUUAAUGUUUAAGUUUUUCAGCCAUUUUGAGUUUAUUUUGUUGUGUGGGGUGAGGGAAUGUUCUAACUUCAUUGCUUUACAUGAGGCUGUGCAGUUUUCCCAGCACCAGUUGCUAAAGAGACUGUCUUAGCUCCCACUGUGGCUCAGAGGUUAACAAAUCCCACUAGGAACCAUGAGGUUGCAGGUUGGAUCCCUGGCCUCGCUUAGUGGGUUAAGGAUCCGGCGUGGCCGUGAGCUGUGGGGUAGGUCACAGACAUGGCUCGGAUCCUGCAUUGCUGCGGCUGUGGUGUAGGCUGGCAGCAGCUACAGCUCCAAUUGGACCCCCAGCCUUGGAACCUCCCUAUGC